Molecule: ribosomal RNA, 253 nt
Filed under: uncultured bacterium
Lineage: Bacteria
Description: partial 16S ribosomal RNA
Rfam family: Bacterial small subunit ribosomal RNA
Source: RNAcentral
AACGUAGGACGCAAGCGUUAUCCGGAGUUACUGGGCGUAAAGGGCGCGUAGGCGGCUCCUCAAGUCGGGGGUGAAAUCCUCUCGCUUAACGAGAGAAUUGCCUCCGAUACUGGGGAGCUGGAGGGGGAUAGGGGUGCGCGGAACUUCCGGUGGAGCGGUGAAAUGCGUAGAUAUCGGAAGGAACGCCGGUGGCGAAAGCGGCGCACUGGAUCCCCACUGACGCUGAGGCGCGAAAGCCAGGGGAGCAAACGGG